UACGUAGUGGCUAGCGUUAUCCGGAAUUACUGGGCGUAAAGGGUGCGUAGGUGGUUUCUUAAGUCAGAGGUGAAAGGCUACGGCUCAACCGUAGUAAGCCUUUGAAACUGAGAAACUUGAGUGCAGGAGAGGAGAGUAGAAUUCCUAGUGUAGCGGUGAAAUGCGUAGAUAUUAGGAGGAAUACCAGUUGCGAAGGCGGCUCUCUGGACUGUAACUGACACUGAGGCACGAAAGCGUGGGGAGCAAACAGG
Molecule: ribosomal RNA, 251 nt
Filed under: uncultured bacterium
Lineage: Bacteria
Description: partial 16S ribosomal RNA
Rfam family: Bacterial small subunit ribosomal RNA
Source: RNAcentral